GCUCAUGCGUCGCGUACAGCUCACUACGAAGCGGCUCAAUGUGUUAGGUGUCGUGUGGUGCCGGAAAAUAUUAGCUUCGACGGACCUGUUUCCAUUGAGUGUGAUUCAGUGCUUGAGACCGGUUCAAAUCGAUUGAAGCAGAAGUGCGGCGCGCUACGUUAAUGUGCGGAUGGUAAACGGAUUCGUCAAAAAGUUGCAAACGACGGCGCGACGUCGACGGUGUGUCUGUUAUUAAAAAGAAAGACGAACAUAAAUUUUUGAAAUUAAAACAAAACGAAAAAAACAGCAAAUGCAAUAAAAUUUAAAUUGGGAAAACGACGAAAGGCAACUGCGCGCAGAUACAUAUGUAUGUAGUUAUUGUGGAGUAAAGUAAAAUCGAGUGCAAGUGUGAGAAAAAAAUUAAUAUGCGUGUGCCAAAGUGAAAAACUAAAAAAAAAAAAUAAUAAUAAUUGAGUUGAGUGCACAUAGGCACCUAAAUUGUUGUAAAUUAAUGCAUGCAUUUUUAAAAAUAAAAACGAAAAAAUACGAUAAACAAUAGUUGAUAAACAUAUGUACAUAUGUAUGAAAAAGAGUGUUUUAGAGAAAAUCCGGCCAAAAGUUAAUAAAUCAAUAUUUGUGUUGGAAAUUUGUUUAGCGGGUUGAAAGACAUUUGAAUUUCCGAAAUAAACUAAAAGUAAGCAAUAAAUUGCUGUUCUCCGGAAAAUAACUCAUAGGAAAUUAAAUGCUUUGCAAUCAACACCCUCUGAAACGUAGGGGUAAAUAAUUUUACAAAAAAUAAACUUCACGCAACUAAAAAAAAAAAACGUCCACGUAUUGAACGCACGCAUUAGCUUACCUAUACGAACAUAUUAGAAAAUUAGCACAACAAAAACAAAAAAAGAACGUGCAACAUUUGUGACGCUAUAAACAUUUGUGUCACUUGUCUGUGAUUUGUGUGCUGCCAAUAACAAAACGAACGACAAAA
Rhagoletis pomonella (apple maggot) is the source of this 964-nucleotide long non-coding RNA. RefSeq lists it as uncharacterized. The record is from RefSeq and is a predicted model, not a curated record. NCBI's taxonomy places the organism in Eukaryota, Metazoa, Arthropoda, Insecta, Diptera, Tephritidae. The transcript has 2 exons.